UUUAAACUGUCUUUAAUAAAAAUUAAGAAUUUAAAUUUUUAGUAAGAAUGCUAAAAUAGAAUUAUGGGACGAGAAGACCCUAUAGAAUUUUAUAUGAAUUUUUAAUUUUGAGUUUUAUUGUAUAGGAGGAUUAGGAUUUAUAUUUGAUUGGGAGGAUUGUUAAAUUAAAUGAACUUUAAUAAGAUAAAAACAUUGAUUUAUGAUUUUAUAAUGAUUAGGUUUAAAGGAAAAUCUAUGAAAGAAUUAAUUACCUUAGGGAUAACAGCGUAAUAUUUUUAGAAAGAUCAUAUUGAUAAAAGUGAUUGCGACCUCGAUGUUGAAUUAAAAUAAAAAUUAAAUGGAGAGAUUUAAUAUUUUUAGUCUGUUCGACUAUUAAAAUUUUACGUGAUCUGAGUUCA
This 398-nucleotide ribosomal RNA is filed under the name Camponotus sp. BAH_28365_E12. RNAcentral's name for it is "partial 16S ribosomal RNA". The stretch from base 258 to 398 matches the Rfam family "Bacterial large subunit ribosomal RNA", at positions 2473 to 2613 of the family's 2925-position model. The record is from RNAcentral. Lineage: Eukaryota; Metazoa; Arthropoda; Insecta; Hymenoptera; Formicidae.